AAUGCGUUCUCAAGUUUAUCCACCAUACCGGCUGUAGGCCAUAUUUCGACCUGUUUAUUGCUACUUGGACUCUAAAAAAAGAUUAAACUCGAAGCAUAAGAAUAAAAUAUUCUGAAAUAUUAAUAUUAAUGAUGACUUGAAGAUUAGAAGAUAGCUAUUACCGGCGAGAUGUUAUCUGUAAUUACUUGGAAAGACUUUAAUGCGAAGAUUCACAUUAUGACAUAACGAAGACAGAAUUGACUAAAACAGAAGAAAGGAAAACGGAUCCAAUAGCCUCUCCUUGGAUCCACCAGUGCCUAGUGGGCCCGCAGAUCUUCUGCGCCCAGGGUCAGAAAUGAGCUUAAACCAGCACUGAUCACAGUCCAUAAUUAUGUUCUUUUUGCCGCUGCUACUGAGUCAGGAGUCAGAAUGGAUUGUUCACGAUGUCUUACAGAUGUUUCACGGAAUUAAA
Molecule: long non-coding RNA, 451 nt
Organism: Stegodyphus dumicola
Lineage: Eukaryota; Metazoa; Arthropoda; Arachnida; Araneae; Eresidae
Source: RefSeq, a predicted model, not a curated record